UGUUUAGUAACCCACCAUAUAUGUUUACAUUCAUGUUAUUUGCUUUAUCUUAUUUCAGCUCUUUUUAUCCGCUUAUGUAUGGGUUAUUUCUGUAUCAUUUGAGAGUAAGUUGUAGAUACCAUGGCCCUUUGCCUUUAAAUAUAUGCAAAUUUCCUGGAUAACUGUGAUACUAUAAUCAUACUGGAAAAAUGUAAUAAUUUAUAUAGUGUCUUCAAAUAUGUGCCCAAAGAUUUUUUAUAACGACUUAUUUUCUAAUCAGUAUCCACUCUUGGUUAAUUCAUUGCAUUUGGGAUUUUUUUUUAAUUUAUUCCUUUUCUCUAGGAUAAUAUCCCCACUUUUUCAUGCUUUUGAAUUUUUCCUUUUUUUUUUCUUUUUUUUUGAGACAGAGUCUCACUCUGUCACCAGGCUGGAGUGCAGUGGUGCGAUCUUGGCUUACUGCAACCUCUGCCUCCCGGGUUCAAGCAAUUCUGCCUCAGCCUCCCAAGUAGCUGGGACUACAGGCGCAUGCCACCACACCCAGCUAAUUUUUGCAUUUUUAGUAGAGACGGGAUUUCAUCAUGUUGGCCAGGAUGGUCUGGAUCUCUUGACCUUGUGAUCCACCCGCCUUGGCCUACCAAAGUGCUGGGAUUACAGGCGUGAGCCACCACACCCAGCCUGAAUUUUUCUUUUUUAAGUACCCAAAGAAUGUCCCACAUUCUUGAUUUCUGCUUCACAGUAUGAUUUAACUUGUUGCUCUGUCCCUUGUUUUCCCAUAAAUUGGCAGUUAUGUCUAGAAAAUUCAUUAGGUUGAGAUUUUUGUCAAGAACAUCUCAUGAAUGAUGCUGCAGACUUCUGAAAGCAUAUCAGGUUUUUACAUGAUUAUUUAUGCUACACUGUAAAGCUUGCUUAAAGAGGCAACUGUCAGCUCUCCAUUGAACAAUUCCAUUUUGCAUUAGUAAUUUGAUGGGUGCUACAUUGAUCCGUUAAUUUGAAAACAUAAUCCCUUUAAUUCAGGAAACAAGGAUUGAAACAAAAAGAUGUCAUUGUAUUCAUCUCUCUGUGUAGCACAUAUGAACUGCCUGUUAAAGGUUAGACUAUAAAUCUGUGGAUAGAAACAAUGUUAAUAUAUGAGGCUAGAAGAAAGGAAAACAAAUAUACCAAUAUUAAGAAAAAAUUAAUAAAACUAGAUAAAGAGAUUAAUGAUUAGGAAAUAAAACUAGUUUUUAUUCAAAUCUUACCCCCUCCCAUUUUGUGGAACAUGAGCUAAAUCUCUAGAUAUAAUCAAGAAAAAUUUUAAAAGAGAUAUGAAGAAAAUGUUUUAAAUUAAAAGUUAAUUUUUGCCGGGCACAGUGGCUCACGCCUGUAAUCCCAGCACUUUGGGACGCCGAGGCAGGUGGAUCAUUUGAGGUCAGGAGUUCGAGACCAGCCUGGCCAGCAUGAUGAAACCUCAUCUCUACUACAAAUACAAAAAUUAGCUGGGCAUGGUGGCAUGCGCCUGUAAUCCUAGCUACUUGGGAGGCUGAGACAGGAGAAUCGCAUGAACCUGGGAGGCAGAGAUUGCAGUGAGCCGAGAUCAUGCCAUUGCACUCCAGCCUGGGCAAUAGAGCGAGAACCAGUCUCAAAAGAAAGAGUUAAUUUUUGAUGUUUAUACCAAAAUAUUUAGCAAUCUCUAAUGUAUUUUGAGAAGGAAUUAUAUUUGUGAAAGAAUAUAGUUUUUCAAAAUGACAUAGAUAUUGUAGGAAAUCGGAAUUUUUAAAACAUGAUUGAAAACAAGAUGAGUUUCACUCAUUAGGGUAAAUGGAAAAUUUCUGAGUAUGAUAUCAGCAAACUCUAAGAUUCUUUUAAAAUAAUUGUGCAAUAGUCAUUUUUCUGGCAGAGUCAAUUCAUUCUUCUGGUUCAAUAUAUUCUAGACAAAUGAAAGAAAAGGAAUGUUGAUCUGUGUUUAUCCUUGUAAUUUUUCUAAGCUUUAUAUACAGUUUUAUAAAUGGGAUGAAUUAUGUGCACGAUACCAUCAAUUCUAAAAACUACCUUUUUAAAAACCUUUUGGAAAUCAGGAUUGCAGUUGAUAACUACCUAAACUCACUUCCAGCCCUAUAAAAAUUACUUUUCCAAACUAAGGAGCAUCACGCAUUAUGCAUUGUCAGCCAAAGUUCUGUAGUGUCAGCGUGAUCAUUCGUUGUGUCUGUAGUGUCAGCGUGAUCAUUCGUUGUGUCUGUAGUGUCAGCGUGAACAUUGUGUCUGUAGUGUCAGCGUGAUCAUUUGUUGUGUCUUUAGUGUCAGCGUGAUCAUUCGUUGUGUCUGUAGUGUCAGCGUGAUCAUUCGUUGUGUCUGUAGUGUCAGCGUGAUCAUUCAUUGUGUCUGUAGUGUCAGCGUCAUCAUUGUGUCUGUAGUGUCAGCGUGAUCAUUUGUUGUGUCUUUAGUGUCAGCGUGAUCAUUCAUUGUGUCUGUAGUGUCAGUGUGAUCAUUCGUUGUGAUCUACAUGCUCAUAUCCCUUUUGUCCACAAAGGAAAUAAUUCGCCUUUAAAUAUUAACAUCAUUUCCCCUAUGCAAUUUUAAGUUUUGAUAAUGAAAUAAAACACAAUGCAGAAUGAUUUUGCUAUAGGUUAGAUGACCACUGUACUUGAUAAUUGAAAAAUGGUUUAUGUUCUUAGACAAGCCAAUGAAGCAAUCUCCUGCUCUUGGAACAAACAAAAACCACAUGAUUAACCUCUCACAAGAUUGACGUGCACUGUGGUGUAGAAAGUUUGUUUGCCUUUCCAUAACCCAGUGUAUCUAAGAAUUACCUCGGAACUUCCAUUUCUAUUAAUAUUACCUACUAACACUUAAGUCUGAGUGUGGUGGCUCAUGCCUGUAAUCCCAGCACUUUGGGUAAGGCCGAGGUGGUCGGAUCACUUGAGGUCAGGAGUUGAAGACCAGCCUGGCCAACAUGGUGAAACCCCAUCUCUACUAAAAAUACAAAAAUGAGCCAGGUGUGGUGGCGCAUGCCUGUAAUCCCAGCUGCUCUGGAGCCUGAGGCAGGAGAAUCACUUGAACCCGGAGCAUAGGCUGCAGUGAGCCGAGAUUGUGCCACUGCAUUCCAGCCUGGGUGACAGAGUGAGACUCUGUCUCAAAAAAAAAAAAAAAAAAAAAAUCGGGACAUGAAACCAUAAGCUGAAAUGCUGCCAAGACCUAAAGGAAUGACCCUCAAACUGGAAUUUCAGCAUUUUGUCAUGUGAUUAAUCCCCGGGAGAAUGCAGUCAGCUCACAUGAUGAUAGGCAAGUAACCACCUUUUUCUGUACUCGUACUACUGUUACUUUUCUACAAAAUGAAAAACCUAAAUGUUUUUUUGUUUUGUUUUGUUUUUUGGGUUUUUUUUGUUGUUGUUGUUGUUUUUGAGACGGAGUUUUGCUCUUGUUGCCCAGGCUGGAGUGCAAUGGUCCGAUCUUGACUCACUGCAACCUCUGCCUCCCAGGUUCAAGCGAUUCUCCUGCCUCAGCCUCCUGAGUAGCUGGGAUUACAGGCACGCAUCACCACGCCUGCCUAAUUUUUUUUAUACUUUUAGUAGAGACAGGGUUUCUCCAUGUUGGUCAGGCUGGUCUCGAACUCUCGACCUCAGGUGAUCCACCUGCCUCGGCCUCCCAAAGUGUUGGGAUUACAGGUGUGCGCCCCCACGCCUGGCCUAAAUGUUUUUAAACUCUCAUCCUGAUCAGUAUUUAGGUUAUAGAUAAUUUUUUAAAACUCUACUUAGAAUAUUGUUUCAGAGGAGUCUGUAAAUAACAAAACUCUAUAAUUGCAGUCAUAGCUGAUGUAUCUAUACUUGGAUCUUUUCCAAAUGCUCUUCUACUCUUGUAAUUUCUAGUCUGGUCAGCUGGAAAUAAAAGUAUCCAGUAACUCCACUUGUCCAUCUAAAAAUAUAAUUAUUUUUUUAACUAACCCAUUAAGUAUUUUUUAUAUGUAUUUAUUAGCCAAUCAUGUUAUUUACUGUGACUUUCCUGUUUGUUUCUUUUGCUCAUUUUCUCAACCUGCUGAUUUAUGAAUACACACACAUACUCUAGAUCUUGAUUCUUCUGUUAUUUUAUAUAUAAUAUCCUUUUCCUGGAGAGUAGCUGUUUAAAGUGCAUUCAUGAUUUUUCUGAUACUGAUAGUUUUCCCACAUACUAUCAUAUUAUAUUUGGAUGUUGCCAUUAUCACUCUAACCAUAAACUGGUAAUCUAUUUAUAUUUUUAAUAGUAUGUGAGAUUUCUGUGUAUUCAGUCAGAUUAUCUAUGAAUGGAAAUGAAUUUUCUUUUAAAAUCAUUAUUAUUUCUUUACUUUUAUUAAAAUAAAUACGAUUAUGUCAAGUAUUGGGGUAAUAGCCAGUGUCUUAGUUGUUUAAACAGUUUAAUGGAAAUCAGUACAAUAUUUUACCAUUCAACUAAUAUUUACUUUGUUGUAUGCAAGUAUGCUCUAUAAUUAGGGCUAACUUCUUAUAUUUUUUCAAAUCCUAUCACUUCUUUUGCUUUGUUCAUAUAUCAUUCUCCUCUGCUAUUUUAAUGUUAUAAUUCAUUCUGAUUUCUUGUUUUAAACCAUUUCUGAAAUAUAAUAUGCUUAGCUGUGG
Molecule: long non-coding RNA, 4556 nt
Filed under: Homo sapiens (human)
Lineage: Eukaryota; Metazoa; Chordata; Mammalia; Primates; Hominidae
Description: LHRI_LNC363.2
Source: RNAcentral